UACGAAGGGGGCUAGCGUUGCUCGGAAUCAUUGGGCGUAAAGCGCGUGUAGGCGGCUGGGACAGUCUGCUCUGAAAAGCCCGAGGCUCAACCUCGGGAGGCGGAGUGGAUACUGCCCAGCUCGGAGUGCCGGUAAGAGGAGUGUGGGAAUUCCUGGUGUAGCGGUGAAAUGCGGCAGAAUAUCAGGAGGAACACCUAUGG
This 200-nucleotide ribosomal RNA is filed under the name uncultured bacterium. RNAcentral's name for it is "partial 16S ribosomal RNA". It matches the Rfam family "Bacterial small subunit ribosomal RNA", at positions 524 to 715 of the family's 1533-position model. The record is from RNAcentral.